Myzus persicae (green peach aphid) is the source of this 729-nucleotide long non-coding RNA. RefSeq lists it as uncharacterized. The record is from RefSeq and is a predicted model, not a curated record. NCBI's taxonomy places the organism in Eukaryota, Metazoa, Arthropoda, Insecta, Hemiptera, Aphididae. The transcript is spliced from 3 exons.
CUUGUUAAUAUUUUAAUGAUGUCAAGCCGACUUAGAUAAUAAACUCUUACUUUGGGUAUGAGAAAAAACGUUGUUUUCGUUAUAAUUUGUAUUGUAAGUUAUACUACCGAUUCGUAGUGACUGAUGAAAUUGGACAACAUCAGUAGGUGCAAGGUCCCUCGCGUAAAAUGAGCUCGAUCGGUCAAAAAUGUGCGUUUACCAUGGAGUCGAAAUAUUUCUGUAAACAUCUGGUCGCAAAAUAAAACAACAACUACUCGCAGCGGCUACCUUCAAGUAUAUACAGACAUUGGAACGAAAAAAACGGAAACCACAAUAUUAUUUGGUUUUAAAAAAAAUGGUAAAACGACGUUAAACUGAAUGUGAUCAAUAUGGAUUGGAUAGAAUUACAUUUACAGGCAUUUAAGAUGUAGACGUAUAUGAAUAUGAAUCGCAGAUAAUGUUAUAAAAAAACAUAUAAUGGACAAAUUAAAAUAACUAGAAGAAUUUCCAAAAUGUUGUGAAUAGACUCGAUAAUUAUUAUAAACUGUAAAACUAUACGAUAAACUGACAUUUUGUUUUUACACCACUGCGAAACGUUAAAAUGUGGAAAAGCCCUUUUGGCUGCGUUGUGUAAUAGAAUUAUAAUUUAAGAGUUCGCGACACGAACGUACGGCGGCUGAACAUAUUAUGAUUUUCAACUCUGAGUGCGGUUCGAUAUGCAAUAAGAGACGGCUACGACGGUUGGGAAGA